AUGAUCCAUGCAAUGCCUUGAAAUCACACAUGCACCGUCACAUGGUCCCGGGUGCUGUCGCGUCUCUGGCGACGAGCCGCGGCGGUCGGAUCCAUGGGGUGCGUGGAGGCCUAACC
RNAcentral lists this small RNA (116 nucleotides) under Halomonas ventosae. RNAcentral's name for it is "t44 RNA". It matches the Rfam family "t44 RNA". Rfam says of the family: This family consists of a number of bacterial RNA genes of between 135 and 170 bases in length. The t44 gene is found between the map and rpsB genes in all species in the full alignment apart from Shigella flexneri. The record is from RNAcentral. Lineage: Bacteria; Pseudomonadati; Pseudomonadota; Gammaproteobacteria; Oceanospirillales; Halomonadaceae.